This 653-nucleotide long non-coding RNA is filed under the name Ricinus communis (castor bean). Its description in RNAcentral is "long non-coding RNA (RCOM_LNC002448)". Lineage: Eukaryota; Viridiplantae; Streptophyta; Magnoliopsida; Malpighiales; Euphorbiaceae. The record is from RNAcentral.
UUCUUUCUAUUACCACCACCUGGCAAAUAAACCCAAUUUGUUAACUUUUCUGUUAGUAGUGGAGCCUAAAGCCAAUAACAUACAGACAUGUGGAUUAAUCGUUCUAAUCCAAAAAUAUUACAUAAAAACCACCUUGCCUUCACUGCUGCCCAACCCAUCCACACUGCCCCCACCAUUAUUCUUCUUUCUAUUGCUACCACCUAAAAUCAUGAUAAGAACAUAGUAAUUCAACACUAAACCCCACAAAAUAUCAUAAAGAAACUAUUCGAAAUCUAUAAAAUGCAGAAUAAAAAAAUUUCAUUGCAGAAAAUCUAUAAUAGAAAAAUUGCAGAAUAAAAACAAGAUGAAAAAUGUUAUUGUCGAUUGAUGGCACUGUGAGAGAGAGAAAUGGAUAAAAUCGCUCGAGAAUCAUAUCAUUUCUCUUAUUGUUUCAUUGAUUGUAGUUGUUGAUAAUCGAUUUCAAUAGCGAGUGCAAGAGACCACCAUCGCCAGUUGUCCUUAUCGUCGCCUCAAGCUCAUCGCUUGAAGUUCAUCAUGUCGUUCAUUACCUGCCGUUCGUCACUCAUGUUCGUUCGAAAAAAGAAAAAGUGGCGGUGGCGAUGCUGCUUAAUGGUUAGGUUGGACUAGGAUUUUCGUUUUUCAAUCUAUAUUUC